ACGAUGAAGAGUUUGAUCCUGGCUCAGGAUGAACGCUAGCGGCAGGCCUAACACAUGCAAGUCGAGGGGUAACAGGGAGAGCUUGCUUUCUGCUGACGACCGGCGCACGGGUGCGUAACGCGUAUACAAUCUGCCUAUCACUGAGGGAUAGCCCGAAGAAAUUUGGAUUAAUACCUCAUAGUAUUAUAGAAUCGCAUGGUUUUAUAAUUAAAGGUUACGGUGAUAGAUGAGUAUGCGUCCUAUUAGCUAGAUGGAGAGGUAAAGGCUCCCCAUGGCUACGAUAGGUAGGGGUCCUGAGAGGGAGAUCCCCCACACUGGUACUGAGACACGGACCAGACUCCUACGGGAGGCAGCAGUGAGGAAUAUUGGACAAUGGGCGCAAGCCUGAUCCAGCCAUGCCGCGUGUAGGAAGACGGCCCUAUGGGUUGUAAACUACUUUUAUACGGGAAGAAACCUAUCCUCGUGAGGAUAGCUGACGGUACCGUAAGAAUAAGCACCGGCUAACUCCGUGCCAGCAGCCGCGGUAAUACGGAGGGUGCAAGCGUUAUCCGGAAUCAUUGGGUUUAAAGGGUCCGUAGGCGGGCUAAUAAGUCAGUGGUGAAAUGCAGGGGCUCAACUCCGGCACUGCCAUUGAUACUGUUAGUCUUGAAUUAUUGUGAAGUGGUUAGAAUAUGUAGUGUAGCGGUGAAAUGCUUAGAUAUUACAUAGAAUACCGAUUGCGAAGGCAGAUCACUAACAAUAUAUUGACGCUGAUGGACGAAAGCGUGGGUAGCGAACAGGAUUAGAUACCCUGGUAGUCCACGCCGUAAACGAUGGUUACUAGCUGUUUGGACGAAUUGACGUCUGAGUGGCCAAGCGAAAGUGAUAAGUAACCCACCUGGGGAGUACGUUCGCAAGAAUGAAACUCAAAGGAAUUGACGGGGGCCCGCACAAGCGGUGGAGCAUGUGGUUUAAUUCGAUGAUACGCGAGGAACCUUACCAGGGCUUAAAUGUAGUAUGACAGAUUUGGAAACAGAUUUUUCUUCGGACAUAUUACAAGGUGCUGCAUGGUUGUCGUCAGCUCGUGCCGUGAGGUGUCAGGUUAAGUCCUAUAACGAGCGCAACCCCUAUUGCUAGUUGCCAGCGAGUCAUGUCGGGGACUCUAGCGAGACUGCCGGUGCAAACCGUGAGGAAGGUGGGGAUGACGUCAAAUCAUCACGGCCCUUACGUCCUGGGCCACACACGUGCUACAAUGGUAGGGACAGAGAGCAGCCACCACGCGAGUGGGAGCGAAUCUAUAAACCCUAUCACAGUUCGGAUCGUAGUCUGCAACUCGACUACGUGAAGCUGGAAUCGCUAGUAAUCGCAUAUCAGCCAUGAUGCGGUGAAUACGUUCCCGGGCCUUGUACACACCGCCCGUCAAGCCAUGGAAGCUGGGGGUACCUGAAGUCGGUGACCGCAAGGAGCUGCCUAGGGUAAAACCGGUAACUGGGGCUAAGUCGUAACAAGGUAGCCGUACCGGAAGGUGCGGCUGGAACACCUCCUUUCUGGA
This 1531-nucleotide ribosomal RNA is filed under the name Nonlabens ulvanivorans. RNAcentral's name for it is "bacterial SSU rRNA". It matches the Rfam family "Bacterial small subunit ribosomal RNA". The record is from RNAcentral. Lineage: Bacteria; Pseudomonadati; Bacteroidota; Flavobacteriia; Flavobacteriales; Flavobacteriaceae.